This is a non-coding RNA of Pelobates cultripes (western spadefoot toad), 344 nucleotides long. Lineage: Eukaryota; Metazoa; Chordata; Amphibia; Anura; Pelobatidae. The record is from the annotation of a GenBank genome assembly.
CUUCUUAUAGCCUAGGCCAUCUUUAUAUAUAAUUCUUUUUUUUUUUCAGAUCCUCAGAGAGUUCUUUGCCAUGAGGUGCCAUUGAACUUCCAGUGACCAGUAUGUGAGAGUGUGAUAGUGAUAACACCAAAUUUAACACACCUGCUCCCCAUUCACACCUGAGAUCUUGCAACACUAACGAGUCACAUGACAACGGGGAGGGAAAUGGCUAAUUGGGCCCAAUUUGGACAUUUUCACUUAGGGGUGUACUCAUUUUUGUUGCCAACUGUUUAGACAUUAAUGGCUGUGUGUUGAGUUAUUUUGAGGGGACAGCAAAUUUACACUGUUAUACAGGCUGUACACUU